RNAcentral lists this unclassified non-coding RNA (331 nucleotides) under soil metagenome. Its description in RNAcentral is "partial contains 5.8S ribosomal RNA, internal transcribed spacer 2, and large subunit ribosomal RNA". The stretch from base 1 to 120 matches the Rfam family "5.8S ribosomal RNA", at positions 35 to 154 of the family's 154-position model. The record is from RNAcentral.
GAUGAAGAACGUAGCGAAAUGCGAUACGUAAUGUGAAUUGCAGAAUUCAGUGAAUCAUCGAAUCUUUGAACGCACAUUGCGCCCCCUGGUAUUCCGGGGGGCAUGCCUGUUCGAGCGUCAUUUCACCACUCAAGCCUCGCUUGGUAUUGGGCAACGCGGUCCGCCGCGUGCCUCAAAUCGACCGGCUGGGUCUUCUGUCCCCUAAGCGUUGUGGAAACUAUUCGCUAAAGGGUGUUCGGGAGGCUACGCCGUAAAACAACCCCAUUUCUAAGGUUGACCUCGGAUCAGGUAGGGAUACCCGCUGAACUUAAGCAUAUCAAUAAGCGGCGGA